This 1551-nucleotide ribosomal RNA is filed under the name Triticum aestivum (bread wheat). RNAcentral describes it as "partial small subunit ribosomal RNA". Lineage: Eukaryota; Viridiplantae; Streptophyta; Magnoliopsida; Poales; Poaceae. The record is from RNAcentral.
AUGGAGUCAGGCCAGCCACUCCCGAGUUCGGACCCGCGGGACGGCCGCGGCGGCUGGCGCGCCGCGCUCUUCAUCGUCGUCGUCGGCUUCUUGGAGCGCAUCGGGUUCAUCGGCGUGGAGGGCAACCUGAUCACGUACCUGACCGGCCCGCUGGGCAUGUCCACCGCGGCCGGCGCCGCCAGCGUGAACGCCUGGUCCGGGACCGUGCUGGUGCUGCCGCUCGUCGGCGCGCUCGCCGCCGACUCGCGCCUCGGGCGCUACCGGGCGGUCCUGCUCGCGGGCGUGCUCUACCUGCUGAGCCUGGGAAUGCUGACGGUAUCAUCCAUGCUGCAAACGCAACAACUUCGUCCCGCCGACUGCCAUGGCACGACCACCACCUGCUCGCCGCCGCCCUCGACGUCAUCGUCACCCGCUCAGCUCGGCUUCUUCUACACCGCGCUCUACCUGCUAGCGCUGGCGCAGGGCUUCCACAAGCCGUGCUCGGAGGCCCUGGGUGCAGACCAGUUCGAUUCCAGCGUGGGCGCGUCACGGAGCUCCUACUUCAACUGGUUCCACUUCUCCAUCUCGUGGGGCUAUGCCAUCGCGGCGACUGCGGUCACCUACGUUGAAGAGAACGUCGGUUGGACGGUGGGGUUCGCCGCGUGCUGGGCCAUCAUGGUGGUGUACCUCGCUGUCUUCUUGCUUGGCAAGCGGACGUACCGGAUAGAGCAGCCGGUGGACGGCAGUUCCUUUGGGCGGAUCACUGAGAAGUUCGUCCUCUCUCAAACUGAUGCCACCAUUGACACCCAACGGCUUUUGGAGACAAAUCAGGACGGGUUCCUCGUUAAGCUGCUUCCUAUCUGGCUGUCGAGCUUAGUGUUUGCCGCGUGCAUCUCGCAGAUCACCACCCUGUUCACCAAGCAGGGUAGCACGAUGGACCGGCGCCUAGGCGGGGCCGCGGGCCUCGUCGUGCCGCCCGCGGCGCUGCAGUGCUGCAUCAGUUUAACAUUCAUCGCCCUUGUCCCUGUCUAUGACCGCACCAUUGUACCCUUCGCGAGGCGCCUCACCGGUCACCCCGGGGGCAUCACCAUGCUCCAGCGCAUCGGUGCUGGGAUGGUCACGGCGUGCAUCACCAUGGUCAUCGCGGCGCUCGUGGAAGCCAAGCGCCUCCGCGUUGCCAAGGACGCGGGCCUGCUCGACCGGCCGGACGUGGCGGUGCCUAUGAGCCUAUGCUGGCUGGUACCGCAGUACGUCCUUAUCGGCCUCGCGGAGGUGUUCAGCUACAUCGGACUGGAGGAAUUCUUCUACGACCAGGUGCCCGAGGCGCUCCGUAGUGUGGGGCUGGCGCUAUGCCUGAGCAUCUUCGGCGUGGGGAGCUAUGCCAGCGGCAUGCUCGUGUGGGCGAUCGACUGGGCCACGAAGAGGGGCGGGGGAGAGAGUUGGUUCUCCGACAACCUCAAUCGCGCGCACCUCGAUUACUUCUACUGGAUCCUGGCUGGCCUCGGCGCUUUAGAGGUGGUCGUGUUCUUGUACUUUGCAAAACAGUAUGUCUACCGAGACAAACCUGAGUAA